This 650-nucleotide ribosomal RNA is filed under the name uncultured Glomus. Its description in RNAcentral is "SSU rRNA". It matches the Rfam family "Eukaryotic small subunit ribosomal RNA", at positions 624 to 1276 of the family's 1831-position model. Lineage: Eukaryota; Fungi; Glomeromycota; Glomeromycetes; Glomerales; Glomeraceae. The record is from RNAcentral.
AAGCUCGUAGUUGAAUUUCGGGAUCAAAUUGUCGGUCGUGCCUCGGUACGUACUGGCGUUAUUGGUUCCUCCCUUCUGAAGAACCGCGAUGUCAUUAAUUUGGUGUCGCGGGGAAUCAGGACUGUUACUUUGAAAAAAUUAGAGUGUUUAAAGCAGGCUCGCGCUUGAAUACAUUAGCAUGGAAUAAUGAAAUAGGACGUUUGAUUCUAUUUUGUUGGUUUCUAGGAUCGACGUAAUGAUUAAUAGGGAUAGUUGGGGGCAUUAGUAUUCAAUUGUCGGAGGUGAAAUUCUUGGAUUUAUUGAAGACUAACUACUGCGAAAGCAUUUGCCAAGGAUGUUUUCAUUAAUCAAGAACGAAAGUUAGGGGAUCGAAGACGAUCAGAUACCGUCGUAGUCUUAACCAUAAACUAUGCCGACUAGGGAUCGGAUGAUGUUAAUUUUUUAAUGACUCAUUCGGCGCCUUACGGGAAACCAAAGUGUUUGGGUUCCGGGGGGAGUAUGGUCGCAAGGCUGAAACUUAAAGGAAUUGACGGAAGGGCACCACCAGGGGUGGAGCCUGCGGCUUAAUUUGACUCAACACGGGGAAACUCACCAGGUCCAGACAUAGUAAGGAUUGACAGAUUGAGAGCUCUUUCUUGAUUCUAUGGGUG